AUAGACGAAUGGUCUUGAAAGGCCAGUCAUAGAGGGUGCGAACCCCGUAGUCGAAAUGUCGUCGCCUGUCCGGAGAGUAUCCCAAGUAGCACGGGGCCCGAGAAAUCCCGUGUGAAUCUGUCAGGACCACCUGAUAAGCCUAAAUACUCCCAGAUGACCGAUAGCGGACAAGUACCGUGAGGGAAAGGUGAAAAGUACCCCGGGAGGGGAGUGAAAUAGUACCUGAAACCGUUUGCUUACAAACCGUUGGAGCACCCUUGUUG
RNAcentral lists this ribosomal RNA (263 nucleotides) under Clavibacter michiganensis. RNAcentral's name for it is "partial 23S ribosomal RNA". It matches the Rfam family "Bacterial large subunit ribosomal RNA", at positions 329 to 590 of the family's 2925-position model. Lineage: Bacteria; Bacillati; Actinomycetota; Actinomycetes; Micrococcales; Microbacteriaceae. The record is from RNAcentral.